GGGAAAUCUUACCGGGUCCGGACAUACCGAGGAUUGACAGACUGUUAACUGCAACACAUGCUGCUAAGUUUUAAACUUAAUAGCUCUUUCAUGAUUAUAUGAUAGGUGGUGCAUGGCCGUUCUUAGUUCGUGGAGUGAUCUGUCUGCUUAAUUGCGUUUCAAAAUCUAAACCUGAGCGACAAGGUGCUGCUAUCGAAACUGUCUUUGAGUGUGAACUAUAAGUCUUUUGACUUAUGACCAUCACUCUAGACGUUUAUGUUUUGGUGUUGGCCCUUGAUGCUCAUUUGAACGCAACGGACGUGAUUGCAACCCCUUGUUGAGAUUUAUCCGAUCUCUACGUUCACUGAACCACACUCUUUAGCGAGAGCAGUGGGGAUGUGGAUAAACUCGGGGGACUGCUGACUAUAAACUUUUCUCAAACCAGAGGAAGGUUGC
This 435-nucleotide ribosomal RNA is filed under the name Globigerinoides elongatus. RNAcentral's name for it is "SSU rRNA". It matches the Rfam family "Eukaryotic small subunit ribosomal RNA", at positions 1207 to 1448 of the family's 1831-position model. The record is from RNAcentral. Lineage: Eukaryota; Foraminifera; Rotaliida; Globigerinidae.